GCCAGCGUAGCUUCAAUUGGCAGAGCACAGCAUUCGUAAUGCUGGGGUUACGAGUUCGACUCUCGUCGCUGGCUC
Molecule: transfer RNA, 75 nt
Filed under: Bremerella cremea
Lineage: Bacteria; Pseudomonadati; Planctomycetota; Planctomycetia; Pirellulales; Pirellulaceae
Also listed under: 1 other name
Description: tRNA-Thr
Rfam family: tRNA
About the family: Transfer RNA (tRNA) molecules are approximately 80 nucleotides in length. Their secondary structure includes four short double-helical elements and three loops (D, anti-codon, and T loops).
Source: RNAcentral